This 1974-nucleotide long non-coding RNA is filed under the name Homo sapiens (human). RNAcentral describes it as "HSALNT0403301". The record is from RNAcentral. Lineage: Eukaryota; Metazoa; Chordata; Mammalia; Primates; Hominidae.
AAGAGAAAAGAAAAUACAAGAAAACAGACAGAAGAUCCUAUCUGCGACAAUUAAGAGCACUCUAAGAGGAAAACACAUCCCACCACACAAGGCAAGGUACUUCUAUGGAAGGGUGAGCCCUCACAGAUGGAGCAAUGGGGCGCGCACACCUGAACAAGGGAGGGGAAGGAGUUCUUAUCCCUGAUGCAUGUGACCCCUGCUGCUGUGUCCUUCCCCUAUUGGCUAAGGUUAGACCACACAGCCUAAACUAAUUCCGAUUGGCUAAUUCAAAGAGAGCGACGGGGGCUUCUGACAGCUUUGGAGAUUGUGACAUUGGAAUAAAGGAAAAACGUACAGGACUCAUGAAGCGCUGAAAUGUUCACAAAUAUCAAGCAAAAGUCAAUGAAAUUUAUUUUGAGCUAUUUACAUCAUUUAAUAAUUGAGCAAGGUAUACUCCUAUGAACAAAAUUUGGAGCAUGUUUGUCUCUCUCUGCCUGGCGUCUUCAGAAUUUGGAAACUAGUUAGUCAUGGAAAUUUAUUUUGAGCUAUUUACAGCAUUUAAUAAUUGAGCAAGGUAUACUCCUAUGAACAAAAUUUGGAGCAUGUUUGUCUCUCUCUGUCUGCCUGGCAUCUACAGAAUUUGGAAACUAGUUGUGCUGUACUGCAUGAGAAUGCCUGCAUUUAGUAUGCGAACUGGAAUUGGCAAAGGACGAUGGCUGCUCUCCCGCUAACUUUAAAUAAGUCAUGUCACAAAUUGCAUUCGUUCCCAGAUUUCCUAAACUUUCCAGAGAAAAUGGUCUUCUCCCUGGCUCAGCAAGAAGAUGAACUUUAAACACUGAGAAACUGGUCAUCUCCCUGGCUCAACCAGAAGAUGAACUUUAAACACUACUCUCAAUGACUUGAUGUUCCCAUCACUACUCCUGUCAUAAAGGGAGGGGACUCAGAUAUUGAGAAUUUUAUGAUAGUGUGAACUGUCUGGUAUGUCAUUUAAGUAAGCCCGUUGCUGAAAUAUUUUCCAUGUUAUUAGAAAGAGCUGAAGAGAGGGAUUGAGAUGGCUUCUUUAUUUUUUGUCUUUUGGGAAUUAAAGGAACCUGGUUCAACAAGGGCCUACACCUAAGUCUCUUGUUGUACCAGAGUACAAUUUAGGACUGCUCCUGAGGAAGGAAUUAGCUAGAAAUCUAGAGAGUAAGGGUAACAGAUUUACAUAGAAUAACAGCCUCAGUAUUUUUGGUUCCUCUCCAGUAAAGAUCACAAAGAAUAUUGCUAAAUCGCUAAAACACCUUUGCAAUAACGUAAGGGCUUACAACUAUAUACCAAUGUAGCUCAGUUACUAAACUGGAGUAAACUAAUUUCUCUUGUGUAGAAAAAUUGGUUGGCUGUGGUUUUAUAGCAGAUCUGCAAUUAUUAAUAGUUAUGCCAAUAAUCGUUUAACAGUGCAUAUGUUAAUAUAUAUGGAAAGACAAUGUGUAUAGACAGAUGUGUAAAAUUGAAAAAUAAACAUAUAACAAGAGAGAAACAUCUAUCGAACAGACAAUAUACAUACACAUCAAACACAACAGCAGUUUUAGUGACCAUAAUAUUUAUUUCUCAUUUUUACAUUGCUUACUUUAGUGACAACUGAAAAUGACAGUUGGCAAUGCAGCUAACAGUUUCAAUAAAAGUAUAAAACAAAAGACUGUGUACAAAGCACCUGUCUUUCCGCUUUUGUAAUCUUCCGUUGGAAAAAAUUUACACACCUAAGUAACCAUCUGUUUUCUUCAAGAAAAAAUCAUUCUUAUUUCUCUCUCUCAUCUUGAAAACAGCUGUCAGCCAGGAGGGCAGAGCUGAAAUUUAUUGCCACAUCACAUGAAGCAUAGAACAGACUCCACUACUCCUUGAGAUUCAAAACUUUGCCUCUCACAAAGUUACCUUUUAUUUUCCUCUUGUUUGUCACUCAUCUCCCCUAGUGUGCUCUUUUUAUUUCUUUUACUAUUAAUAAUAAAAUCUGUGGAUGAC